GACGAGCGCUGGCGGCGUGCUUAACACAUGCAAGUCGAGCGGUAAGGCCCUUUCGGGGGUACGACGAGCGGCGAACGGGUGAGUAACACGUGGGUGACCUGCCCUCAGCUCUGGGAUAAGCCUGGGAAACCGGGUCUAAUACCGGAUAUGACUCCAUGACGCAUGUUGUGGGGUGGAAAGCCUUGUGCGGCUGAGGAUGGGCCCGCGGCCUAUCAGCUUGUUGGGGGGGUGA
RNAcentral lists this ribosomal RNA (232 nucleotides) under uncultured bacterium. Its description in RNAcentral is "partial 16S ribosomal RNA". It matches the Rfam family "Bacterial small subunit ribosomal RNA", at positions 28 to 260 of the family's 1533-position model. The record is from RNAcentral.